GGUGGGUGCUGGGAAGACAAGUGGCUCAUUGCACAUAAUCACCCAAGUCUGAGCCCUCCACCCCCCACUUCUCCAACACACUCACUUAAGCUAUCUUUCCUCUUGUCAAAUCCGCUCUGAAAGGUAAUUUCUAAACUUACUUUUUUUUUUUUUUUUAAGAUUUUAUUUUUUCCUUUUUCUCCCCAAAGCCCCCCGGUACAUAGUUGUGUAUUCUUCGUUGUGGGUUCUUCUAGUUGUGGCAUGUGGGACGCCACCUCAGCGUGGUCUGAUGAGCAGUGCCAUGUCCGCGCCCAGGAUUCGAACUAACGAAACACUGGGCCGCCUGCUGCAGAGUGCGCGAACUUAACCACUCGGCCACGGGGCCAGCCCCUCUAAACUUACUUUUUAUAUGUUCCAAACGUUAAAACUGAAAGAAAAAUUUUACUACUCCAACAUUUUUUCAUUUAUCAAACAUAUUUGGACACUGUGUCAGCAACUGUGCUAUGACCUGGACGAUGUUUCUCCCUACAGAGUUCCUGACUCAGGGAGAGGCAGACAAGCCCACAGAAAGUGACUCGGGUCCUCAUUUUUCCACAUUUGUUGGUCCAUGUGUAAUCAACAGAUGAGAACAGCAUCUUUGGAAACUCAUCAUGUUAAUUUCCUAGGGCUGCUGUGACAAAGUAUCAUGAUCUGGAUGGCUUAAGGUAGCAUCACUUUACUGUGUCACGGUUCUGAAGGCUAGAAGUCUAAAAUCCAGGUGUGGGCAGGGUUGGUUCCUUCUGAGGCUGCGAGAGAGAAUCUGGCCCCCGCCGCUCUCCUGGCUUCUGGUGGUUUGCUGGCAACCUUUGGCUUGUAGAUGCAUCACUCUUCAUGUGGCUUUCUCUUUGUGUCUCUGUCUCUUCACAUUGUGCUCUCUGUCCAAUUUUCCGCUUUCCGUUGGACAUCAGUUAUACUGGGUUAGGGGCCCUAAUGAUCUCAUUUUAACUUAUCUUUGUAAAGACCCUAUUGUCAAAUAAGGUCACGUUCUGAGGUUCUGAUACUUGAGACUUCAACAGAUCUUUUUUGAGUGGGACGCAGUUCAACCCAUAUACAGAGAAAAUUUUAAAAAACUAAUUUCGAGUUCUGUACCAGGCUGUGUGGCCUUGAGCAUUUCCUUAACUCUCUGAACUGUUUCAUAAAGUACAAAAUCAGAAUAUCAACAUCUCCCUUGCGAGGUUGUUGGUAUCACAAACUUAGUUAAAGAGAUGGGGCCCUUAGCAUACACACAUUCAUGCAUACGUGUCAGUUCAAUGAUCUGUUUUAACUUAAUUUUAUCUUUAUUAAAAUGUUGUGGCCUAGGAGGUAGUAUGAUUUAUUUGGAAAAAAAUGGAAAUGUAUACGUUUUAUUUAUUCUAUAUAUCUAUAGAUAUGUAUAGAUAUCUGUAUCUAUAGAUAUAUAGAUAAAGAGAAUCUGUCUGAUUGUCUUUCUGCCUGACUAUUUGUGUGUCUGUCUGAUGAUCUGUCCAUUUGUCUAUCUAUCUGACUACCUGCCAGUCUGUUUAUCUGAACUGUCUGUCCACAUCCCUCAAUACAAGUCAAUUCGUUGGAUGAUGGAGAUCCCAAGAUGUGUAAGACACAUUCCCUCACCUUCUGGUGUUUCUAGUCUGGAGGAGAGGAGCAGAUAUACAAACAGCUAAGAAAGUCAAGGCUCUGCAGGGUUGAGAUCUUUGUCCAAGGCCUUAAGUGGAAAAGCCUCAAGUCCAGCUGAAGUCACCUUGAGCUCAAAGGCGUGCUGACCUCAAAGCUGUCUGCGCUGGACCCACCACUGCUUUCAGCUAGUGAGUGAGGACUGAAGGAGAGGCAUCACCCAGCGUAACACGCCCCAGGGGAAGUGUUGGGAGGGAGGGAUGGGGCGAUGGAUGGGGAAGGAUGGGGGGAUGGAUGGGCCGGAAGGAUGAGGAAGUGCGUGGUGGCCUGUGCACAGCAUUCUCCUUGUUUCCAAACUGUCAGGACCAAUAAUGAAUUUCAACCUUAAUAAAUUCCUGCCGUUUUGCAGAUUUUGAUUUAGCAAUGCAGCGUUGCUAAAGGUUUGACCUAAUAGUUUUAACAAAACUUCCAAGAGACCUUUCACAAGCUAUUGUGAUUAUAAAAGCUUUUCUUAAACCCUUGCAAUCCUAGUUGUUUCUGAAGGGAGAUUCCAGAGGAAUGAGCAAAGUACAAUGGAAAAAUCAGGGAUAAGUCUUUAAAUUCUUGGGGUGUAAGAAGUGGUUUUGAAGGAUAAGUAGGAGUUUUCUAGGCAAAGGAGAAGAGUGGAAAGCAAUUCCAGGCAGAGGAGAAGCUGUGUGCCAUCUCUCAGUCCUGAAUUUUCUGCUUGUGCCGGUGGCACUACCUUCUCUUACUGAAAAGGAGGGUUAGUGAGACUGCUUUGUCUGUCUUGCUUCCUGUUGUGUGCACAAGGUCAAGAGCAGAACCUGGCACAGGGUAGUCACUCAAUAAAUAAUUGUGAUGUUGAAGAAAUGGCACCCCCCACGGCCAGCAGUGACUGGCUGUAGGAAGAGCCAUUGUUAAUGCUCUUGGUUCUCACAGUGUCAACCUCUCACCACACCCGUUUCUUCUGUUUCUGCCCCCAUUCUCCUAGCAAGAUUCUGGUUUCUGAAACUAGGGCAGUAGUCUCAUAAGUAGUCUCCCCACCUUGUGUGUGCACUCACCCCAUUUAUCCCGCUCGCUGCUGGAAAGAGAAGUUACAAUACUUUCUUCCUCUGCUCAAAAGCCAUCCGUGACUCCCAUGUACCUAAUGUGCUGAGUUGAAAUGCAUCUUGGCUUUCAACACUUAUCACAAUAUGACCGCUCUACUUUUUCAACUUCAUGACUUACAUCUUAUCUCUAUAAGUUCUAUGCUCCAGCAAAAUGGAAAUGUUUCCUGUUCCCAGAUUAUGUUCUCUCUUUCCUCACCUUUAAACCUUUCCUUCAUGUGGUUCCCAGGACAUGGAAGCUCUCUCCCUUCCAAGCACACCUGUGGAGACCUGCCCAUCACCGAAGCCCACCCUUGGGCGCCACCACCUCCAUGAGGCUUUUCUGAUGAAUACUUCCUAACACUUUGUGUCUUUCGAAUGAUACUUAACAAAUUUGUCCUAGAAUUUUCUCCUCCAUAGGCAUGAUUCUAGCCCAGGUCCUGGAACAGAGUGGACAUUCUAAGAUAUGCGUGGGAUUGAGCUAAGCACCAGUUAUGCACCAAGCCCUCUGCUAGAUGUAGGGGAUCCUGCAAGGUGACCUUCUGAGGAUGAUACAAGAGAAAGAAUGAGGGAUUAUUUUGUAAAUCCAGAAGUAGUAUGCGCUAUACUCUAUAAAGUACUGUAAAAAUGAUGAUGACGAAGAUGGUGAUGAUGAUGGUGGCGGUGGUGGUGAUGAUGGUGAAUGCGCAGGAUACUCAUUCGCAUUUCUCCCUCCAGCUCUACUCUCCACCUUUCUCAUCCUGCUCUGUCCCCUGGGAGGCUGACCCCUAUGGAUUGUAUCAGCCAGGUUCCUUGCCCUGUGGCUUCCUGUUGGGUUCAGCCAAUAGAAAAUAUCAGUGGAAAAUCAGAGAGCGAGAGGAGAGAGUUUGGGUCUUUAUUCCCACAGCUCUCUCUUUAUUGGGCCUCAGUUUGAAGUGGUUGCAUUCUAAAAGUCAUAAUCCCUUUCAACUGACCCCUCCUCUAUACUUAGAGCUCCUACCAGAUUCCAGGAACCAGUGUCCCCCUUGCCCCUUCAGGACCAGAAUUGAUGACCCUCUCUUGUUCCAUUCCCAGUGUGUGCCACUUAACCCUGCCCUAAUCACCUUUACAAAACUCUCCACAAUUUCCCCUUUUCCGUAUGGCGUCUGCAUUUCUUGCCGAGACCCUGAUGGACUCAAUGACUGAUGAUGAUGGUGGUGGUGACAGUGGCUGUGAUGAUUUUCCUCCCAGCUGGUAGUCUGAGAAUCCUAAUGAGUAACUCCACACAGAGAGGCUAGAGAAUUGUGGCAGAGGCUAGCAAGAUGCUCACUGAAUUAGUUAUCUAUAACUGUGUAAUGAGUUACCCCAAAACUUAGUGGCUUAAAACAAUAAUAAUAAUUUAUUAUUUCUCAUUGUUUUUGCAGGUCAGGAAUUCAACUGGGUAGAGGAAGAGAGCUUGUUUCUGCUCCCUCGCGUCUAGGACCUCCUCUAGAAGGCUGAAAGCUCAUGUACUUACAAGUCCAGCAGUUGGUCCUGGUUGUUGGCUGGGGAACCAUUUGAGGCUGUCAGCUGGAACAUUACACAUGUGGCCUCUCCAUGUCGCCUGGGCUUCCUCACGGCAUGGGGCCUAGAGUCCAAGGAUGAGCAUUCAGAGACACAGAGAGAGGCAGCCAAGCCAAAGCCAUGCUGCCUUUUAUAACCUGACCUUGGAAGUCGUGCACUGGCACUUCCACCAUGUUCUGCUGGUAGAGGUAGUUAUAAAGGUCCAGCCAGGUUCAAUGGAGGGAACGUAUGCAGGCCCCACCUCUCGGCGGAAGAGGAUCGAUGUCUGUGAUUGAUUGUUGAUUGUAUAAUGUGGACUAAAGUAACAUAAGCCACUUCUGGAUCUAUGCAUCAGUCUCCACACGCCACCCACUCUUUCUUCCCGUGCAGUGGCAACUGUGUAUAAUAUGUGUUGAAGAUGACAAUGACACAAAAGUCGAGGAGGCUGGAUCCCUGAGUCAUCACCUGGAGGAUAACCAUCCAAUCCAUACUGACCUUCGUGAGUGUGAUAAUUAAACUUUAGUGUGUUAAUCCUCUGAGGUUUGGUAAUUGCUACAAGAAUUUUAUCCAUAUCCCCAAACUUCGUCUGAGCCCAGGUAUUUUUCUUCCUGUGUUAACAGCACGUCCACCAGGACUGCAAAUCUACGAUGAAAGCAAGGGACUAGGGGUGAUUUCUCCUGCCUCCUUUUGAUCUGUGCACCUCCCCACCGCUCCAAGUAGCAGUGAGCAGGGAAAUGACUGUGUGAAAGAGGAGAAGGAAGUCAUGGGACUGCCCAGGUCAUUGACCAACGGGAUCACUGACUUUAUACCAAAGGCCUUGGCCAAACCCGAAGGUGGAAAAUGGGCAAUGUUGACAGGGACGCAGUAAGUCUUCAGUGCUUCUUUGGACGCUCUAGGGGAAAUGGAGAUCGCGUGCUGGAAAUGAUCGGCAGGCACGUGUCUGCAGGGGCUUAGCACACCCGGAAGACACUGUCUGAAGGAGAAAGUGCGCCUGCCGUCUGUCCCAAUAAAAAGCCUGGGAAAAACACCUGCCAAGUGAUAUUUAGAACUGACAUUUUCAUAGGGAUCCAGGCAAUGGAGGGUUUUGCGGGGCCCAGAAAGCACGGUUUUCACUCUUUCUCCUCCUCAUUUUCUGUAACUGAACAAUGCGCACAGUGUUAACGUACAUUUAAAAUGACGUGCUUUAAGGAGUACAUUUUUAAAAGCUUUUUAUUUGGAAAUAGUUUUGACAAUAAUAAUGAUUUCAAUAACUACAAUUUAGUAAUAAUUGACAAUGACAAUAAUUUUAAGAAAUAAUAUUUCUUUUCUGAACCAUUUGAGAGUAAGUUGCACACAUCAUGGCUCUUUACUCCUAAAUAUUUCCUAUUUCCUCUUAAAUAUUUCAGUGUCUGUUUUCUAGGAAUAGAGAUUUUUAUGUAACUGUAGCACAGUUCUCAGUCUCAGUAAAUUUAACAUUGAUAAUAUUUUUUUCUAAUCUACCAUCAGUGUCCUGAUUUUAUCAAUAUUUUGACUUAAUAACGUACUAUUUAGCAUUUUCCCCCCUCAGCACGUGUUGUCACGUCUCUCUGAUUUCCCUUAAUCUAAAACAUUUCUACAGCCUUUAUUUGUUUUUUAUGAUAUUGAGAGUUUUGAAGAAUAACGUUUCUCGUUGUCACUUGUUCUGUUUCCUCGUGAGUGGAUCCAGGCUGCGCCUCCCCGGCCGACAUCCACAGAUGAGGCCGGAUCCUGCCCAGGGCCUCGCCUCAGGCGCACAGCCUCCGUUUCCUCUCGAGGCUGAUGUCGUUGUUAAUCAUGAAGGGCAAUGACGUCUGUAAAACUCUUAAGAAGAAGAGGCCUCUGAAGGUAUAAUUCUCUGAAAGCUAUUUUCUAAGUUCAAGUCUGUGGCCUUUCAGUCUCUAAGAAGGAAAUACUGGGUGUGAAUGUUUUCGUCUGGGAUACAGCCGGGCAGCUCUGUCCAGAGGGCAGACUGUGCUUCUGACCUGGAUCCUUGGGAUGCUGCUGGUUCUCCACUUCAGCCUGGGAGGGAAGACCAGGUCUGGACCCGUGCACAGGCAAACGCCAUGCCAAGCUGGGGUUUAGGCACCAAAGGAGGCCCAACUGGUGGUGCUAAGGUUUGGGAAACGGAAGCCCAGACUCUGUGUUUAUUCUCCAUCAAUUGGAAAAUUCCUGAAGGAGAACUUUGGCUGGAAAACGUCUGAAUAGGUGGAUGUCUCUGCUCUCUCGCCAUGGGUGCCGUCCUGUCUGAGGUUUUCGUAUCCUGAUGGGGGAAGAAGCAGACGGGGCGCUCUCUCCACUGUCACGGAUGCCGAGUGGAGAGGAGAGGCUACUACGUAGUCUCAGAGUCAGAAAAGAUCUUGAUACACUGGGCCUUUCCAGGAUGAAAGUCUACGCUGAGCAUCACACAUAACCUUGUGUAUUUCCUUGGUUCCAAGAGGCUUUCCUCUACCUUUUACUGUUUCUGGCCUUUGGAUGCAUCCUACACUCUGUGUCAAAGGCAACUAGCUGUUUAAUAGGUACGGUUGUUGUAAAUAGAAAAUCUACCCAUAUGCAGACAAAGGUUCAACUAAUUGUUGCCUUGUUCCUCCUCCACCAUUGGUUGCACUACACAGGAAUCUAUUUUCAUCAAUGUAUAAUUUACAUACGCUAAACUAUGUCCUUCUUGUUGUACAGUUCCAGGAGUUUUGACAAAUGCAUACGGUCAUGUAACUAACACCAAAAUCAAGGUACAGAACAGUUUCACCCCCCAAAAGAGUUCCCUUGUGCCCUUUGUAGACAAACGCUCCUGCUUAGCCGCUGGCAAUCACUGAUCUGUUUUCUAUCCUUGUAGUUUUGCCUUUUCCAGAAUGUCAUAAAGAUGGGAGUAAAUUUAUGUAGCCUCUCUGUGUCUGGCUUCUUUUGCUCAACCAAUGCAUUUGAAAUGAAUCCAUGUUGUCCAUGUAUUCAUGGUCUGUUCCUUUCUACUGCUGAGUAAUAUUCCACUGCAGAGAUGUCCACACAAUGUUUACUCAUUCAUCAUUUAAAAGACAUUUGUGUUGUUUUCAGUUUGGGGCUAUUAUGAAUAAAGCCAUUAUAAACAUUCACGUCCAAGUUUUUGUGUGAACAUAUGUGUUCAUUUCUCCUGGGUAAAUGGUUAGGAGGAAGAUUUCUGGCUCACAUGGUAAGUGUAUGUUUAACUUUGCAGGAAACUGCCCAACUGUUUUCCAAAGUUGUCCUACCAGCUUGUGCUCCCAGCAGCAAUGCAUGAGAGCACUGCAUCGUGGGACUGUCAGCAUUUUUAGCUGUUCAAAUAUGGGCAUAUUGGUAUCUCAUGCUGGUUUAAACUUACCUUUCUCUAGUGACGAACGAUGCUGAACACGUUUUUUAUGAUGAUUUGUUCAUAUAUCUUCUUUGACAAAGUGUCUGUUCAAACUUUUUUUUUUUUGAGGAAGAUUAGCACUGAGCUAACAUCUGCUGCGAAUCCUCCUCUUUUUGCUGAGGAAGACUGGCCCUGAGCUAACAUCCGUGCCCGUCUUCCUCUACUUUAUAUGUGGGAAGCCACAGCAGGGCUUGCCAAGCGGUGCCAUGUCUGCUCCCAGGAUCCGAACCAGCAAACCCAGGGCUGCCAAAGCUGAACAUGCGAACUUAACCACUGCACCACUGGGCCUGCCCUGUUCAAAUUUUUUAUUGGAUUAUUUGUUUUCUUUUUAUUUAAUUUGGAAGUCUUUUACAUAUUUUAGAUAAGUUCUUUAUCUGAUAUGUGUUUUGCAAAUACUGUCCCCUAGUGUGUGGCUUGCUUUUUAAUUUCUUAACAGUGUCUUUUUAAGAACAAUUUUUCAUUUUGGUGAAGUCCAAUUUAUCAACUUUUUUCUUUCAUGUGUUACAUUUUUUGUAUCAUAUUUAAGGAAUAUUUGUCUAAUCCAAAGUCUUAAAGAUUUUCUGCUGUUUUCUUCUAGAAGUUUUAUAAUUUUACAUUUAGGUUUAUGAUCGAUUUUGAAUUUGCUUUUAUACAUGGUAUGAGAUAUAGAUUAAAGUUGUGUAUAUUUACCAUGGUGAGCUUUUUUAGUUGUUUUCCUGCAAAGGUAAUAUUAAAUCAAGGAUGCGUCUUACAAAUGAUAGAGUCUUCAACUGAAAGAAGUACAAGAAAUACAAGACUGGC
Molecule: long non-coding RNA, 8325 nt
Organism: Equus caballus (horse)
Lineage: Eukaryota; Metazoa; Chordata; Mammalia; Perissodactyla; Equidae
Source: Ensembl